CCUACGGGGGGCUGCAGUGGGGAAUAUUGGGCAAUGGGGGCAACCCUGACCCAGCGACGCCGCGUGGGGGAAGACGGCCUUCGGGUUGUAAACCUCUUUUGUACGGGAAGAAGGAAGUGACGGUACUGUACGAAUAAGUCCCGGCUAACUACGUGCCAGCAGCCGCGGUAAUACGUAGGGGACGAGCGUUGUCCGGAAUUACUGGGCGUAAAGGGCGCGCAGGCUGUGCUGCAAGUCAGCUGUUAAAUGUCUGGGCUUAACCCGGGCAUGCGGUUGAGACUGCGGUGCUGGAGUGCUGUAGAGGCAAGUGGAAUUCCCAGUGUAGCGGUGAAAUGCGUAGAUAUUGGGAAGAACACCGGUGGCGAAGGCGACUUGCUGGGCAGCAACUGACGCUGAGGCGCGAAAGCCAGGGGAGCAAACGGGAUUAGAUACCCCAGUAGUC
Molecule: ribosomal RNA, 442 nt
Filed under: uncultured bacterium
Lineage: Bacteria
Also listed under: 1 other name
Description: bacterial SSU rRNA
Rfam family: Bacterial small subunit ribosomal RNA
Source: RNAcentral